GCGUCCUUAGCUCAGUGGUAGAGCAUUGCACUUGUAUGCUACAGAAGUAAGCAUGAUAUCUCCUUAUACAAUGCAAAAGCCAGCCGUUCGAUCCGGCUAGGAGGCG
Molecule: transfer RNA, 106 nt
Filed under: Rhodocollybia butyracea
Lineage: Eukaryota; Fungi; Basidiomycota; Agaricomycetes; Agaricales; Omphalotaceae
Description: tRNA-Thr
Rfam family: tRNA
About the family: Transfer RNA (tRNA) molecules are approximately 80 nucleotides in length.
Source: RNAcentral